GAAAAGAAACUAACAAGGAUUCCCCUAGUAGCGGCGAGCGAAGCGGGAAGAGCCCGGGAUGAAAAUCUCUUCGGAGAGUUGUAGUCUGAGCUCCCUUGGGCGGUCAGUGUGGGUAAAUUGUCUGGGAUGACGUGCCAUGGAGGGUGAGAGCCCCGUCCAGCCCACACAGGACCCGCCCGUACGAGGGCGCUUCAACCGAGUCGGGUAGCUUGGGAAUGCUGCUCCAAAUGGUGGUAAAUCUCAUCAAAGGCUAAAUAACGGUGGGAGACCGAUAGCGAACAAGUACCGUGAGGGAAAGAUGGAAAGAACUUUGAAAAGAGAGUGAAAAGCGCUUGAAACCGUCACGGGGGAAGCGGAUUGCGUGAGUGAUGGCGUGCAUUGUUCAGCUCAAAAGUAGAGUGUAUUCUGUGCACGCCGGGCGUGUGUGGCUGGGGUGCGUGCGAAUUUGGCAUGCGUUCCUGGUGAGGGCUCCCUGCUGGUCAGGUGAGGACACACGCGAAAUGACGCAAUACGACCCGUCUUGAAACACGGACCAAGGAGUCUAGCACGGCUGCGAGUCGAAGGGUGUUAAAACCCAGAGGGCGCAGUGAAAGCGAAAGAAAGCAAAUUGGGGAGGCGUUGCGGUUUUACCAAAAUGUCCUACCUCGAGCACCUGUGCUGGGACCCGAAAGAUGGUGAACUAUGCCGGAGUAGGGCAAAGCCAGAGGAAACUCUGGUGGAGGCUCGUAGCGAUGCUGACGUGCAAAUCGCUCGUCGAACUUGGGUAUAGGGGCGAAAGACUAAUCGAACCAUCUAGUAGCUGGUUCCCUCCGAAGUUUCUCUCAGGAUAGCGGGCCGACGACAUGUUGUUUUGUGCGGUAAAGCGAAUGAUUAGUGCAUUUGGGGGCCGAAGGUCUUCAGGCGAUUCUCAAACUUUAAAUGCGCAAGGGGGCGGCUGCUUAAUUGAGCCUGCUCUUUGAAAAACGUCGGCCCUGUGGGCCACUUUUGGUAAGCAGAACUGGCGAUAAGGGAUGAACCUUAAGCGCGGUUAAGGCGCCGCAUUGCCCGCUUAUAGACCCCACAAAAGGUGUUGAUUCAUCCAGACAGCAGGACGGUGGCCAUGGAAGUCGGAAUCCGCUAAGGAGUGUGUAACAACUCACCUGCCGAAUGAAUUAGCCCUGAAAAUGGAUGGCGCUGAAGCGGGCAGCCGACACCGCGCCGUUCAGGCGAGACGAAGCCUGGAUGAGUAGGAGGGCGUGGCGGUCAGUGACGCAGGCGUGGGUGCAGACCCCGCUGAAACGGCCGCUAGUGCAGAUCUUGGUGGUAGUAGCAAAUAUUCAAGCGAGAUCCUUGAAGGGCGAAGCGGGGAAGGGUUCCACGCGAACAUUGAUUGGGCGUGGGUGAGUC
Molecule: ribosomal RNA, 1386 nt
Filed under: Nothocladus kraftii
Lineage: Eukaryota; Rhodophyta; Florideophyceae; Batrachospermales; Batrachospermaceae
Description: eukaryotic LSU rRNA
Rfam family: Eukaryotic large subunit ribosomal RNA
Source: RNAcentral